GACGAACGCUGGCGGCGUGCUUAACACAUGCAAGUUGAACGGGUCAUAUAUGAAGGGUAACCGGAGUGUAUGGCUAGUGGCGAACGGGUGAGUAAUGCAUGAGAACGUAUCCUCAAGAGGGGGACAACAUUGGGAAACCGAUGCUAAUACCCCAUAAGCCGGGAGGUAAAAGGAGCAAUCCGCUUGAGGAGCGGCUCAUGUCCUAUCAGCUGGUUGGUGAGGUAACGGCUCACCAAGGCGAAGACGGGUAGCCGGCCUGAGAGGGUGAACAGCCACACUGGAACUGAGAGACGGUCCAGACUCCUACGGGAGGCAGCAGUGGGGAAUAUUGGGCAAUGGGGGAAACCCUGACCCAGCGACGCCGCGUGAGGGAAGAAGGCCUUAGGGUCGUAAACCUCUGUUGUGUGGGAAGAAGAGCGUGACGGUACCACACGAGGAAGUCCCGGCUAACUACGUGCCAGCAGCCGCGGUAA
Molecule: ribosomal RNA, 473 nt
Filed under: uncultured bacterium
Lineage: Bacteria
Description: partial 16S ribosomal RNA
Rfam family: Bacterial small subunit ribosomal RNA
Source: RNAcentral